UACAGAGGUCUCAAGCGUUGUUCGGAUUCAUUGGGCGUAAGGGUGCGUAGGUGGCGCGCUAAGUCAGGUGUGAAAUCUCGGGGCUUAACUCCGAAACUGCAUUUGAUACUGACGUGCUUGAGGACUGGAGAGGAGACUGGAAUUCACGGUGUAGCAGUGAAAUGCGUAGAUAUCGUGAGGAACACCUGUGGCGAAGGCGGGUCUCUGGACAGUUCCUGACACUGAGACACGAAGGCCAGGGGAGCAAACGGG
This 252-nucleotide ribosomal RNA is filed under the name uncultured prokaryote. RNAcentral describes it as "partial 16S ribosomal RNA". It matches the Rfam family "Bacterial small subunit ribosomal RNA", at positions 524 to 776 of the family's 1533-position model. The record is from RNAcentral.